AUUGAACGCUGGCGGCAGGCCUAACACAUGCCAGUCGAACGGAGUGGCGGACGGGUGAGUAAUGCCUAGGAAUAUGCCUGGUAGUGGGGGAUAACGUCCGGAAACGGGCGCUAAUCCCGCAUACGAUCAGCUGAGCCUAGGUCGGAUUAGCUCGUUGGUGGGGUAAAGUCCUACCAAGGCGACGAUCCGUAACUGGUCUGCGAGGAUGAUCAGCCAAACUGGAACUGAGACACGGUCCAGACUCCUACGGGAGGCAGCAGUAGGGAAUAUUGGGCAAUGGGCGAAAGCCUGAUCCAGCCACGCCGCGUGUGUGAAGAAGGUCUUCGGAUUGUAAAGCACUGUAAGUUGGGAAGCGUUACCAACAGAAUAAGCACCGGCUAACUUCGUGCCAGCAGCCGCGGUAAUUC
Molecule: ribosomal RNA, 407 nt
Filed under: uncultured bacterium
Lineage: Bacteria
Description: partial 16S ribosomal RNA
Rfam family: Bacterial small subunit ribosomal RNA
Source: RNAcentral